This 305-nucleotide ribosomal RNA is filed under the name uncultured bacterium. RNAcentral describes it as "bacterial SSU rRNA". It matches the Rfam family "Bacterial small subunit ribosomal RNA", at positions 334 to 638 of the family's 1533-position model. The record is from RNAcentral.
CGUUCCUACGGGAGGCAGCAGUGAGGAAUAUUGGUCAAUGGGCGAGAGCCUGAACCAGCCAAGUCGCGUGAGGGAGUACUGCCCUAUGGGUUGUAAACCUCUUUUGUCGGGGAGCAAAAGCCGGACGUGUCCGGCUGUGAGAGUACCCGAAGGAAAAGCAUCGGCUAACUCCGUGCCAGCAGCCGCGGUAAUACGGAGGAUGCGAGCGUUAUCCGGAUUUAUUGGGUUUAAAGGGUGCGCAGGCGGAUUUUUAAGUCAGCGGUAAAAAUGCGGAGCUCAACUCCGUCGAGCCGUUGAAACUGCCG